GACGAACGCUGGCGGCGUGCCUAAUACAUGCCAGUCGAACGCAUUUUCUUUCACCGUAGCUUGCUACACCGAAAGAAAAUGAGUGGCGAACGGGUGAGUAACACGUGGGUAACCUGCCCAUCAGCGGGGGAUAACACUUGGAAACAGGUGCUAAUACCGCAUAAUUCCAUUUACCGCAUGGUAGAUGGGUGAAAGGCGCUUUUGCGUCACUGAUGGAUGGACCCGCGGUGCAUUAGCUAGUUGGUGGGGUAACGGCCUACCAAGGCUGCGAUGCAUAGCCGACCUGAGAGGGUGAUCGGCCACACUGGGACUGAGACACGGCCCAGACUCCUACGGGAGGCAGCAGUAGGGAAUCUUCGGCAAUGGACGCAAGUCUGACCGAGCAACGCCGCGUGAGUGAAGAAGGUUUUCGGAUCGUAAAACUCUGUUGUUAGAGAAGAACAAGGAUGAGAGUGGAAAGUUCAUCCCUUGACGGUAGCUAACCAGAAAGCCACGGCUAACUACGUG
RNAcentral lists this ribosomal RNA (507 nucleotides) under uncultured bacterium. RNAcentral describes it as "partial 16S ribosomal RNA". It matches the Rfam family "Bacterial small subunit ribosomal RNA", at positions 28 to 507 of the family's 1533-position model. The record is from RNAcentral.